AUGAAUUUGAACUUGAUGCCCGAAGAGGAGGAUGGAGCUCAACAAGAUGAAGAAGCUCAACAAGGUGACAAAACUCAACAAGGUGACACUAUGGCUUUGAACUUGAUGCCUGAAGAGGAGGGUGAAGCUCAACAAGAUGAACAAGCUCAACAAGGUGACGAAGCUCAAAAAGGUGACACUAUGGAUUUGAACUUGAUGCCUGAAGAGGAGGAUGAAGCUCAACAAGGUGACACUAUUCAUUUGAACAGGAUGCUUGAAGAGGAGGAUGAAGCUCAACAAGAUGAAGAAGCUCAACGAGGUGACAUUAUUGAUUUGAACUUGAUGCCUGAAGAGGAGGAUGAAUCUCAACAAGAUGAAGAUCUUGAAUUGAAUUGGCUUCAUGAAGAGGAAGAAGCUCAAGAUGAAGAAGCUCCAGAAGCUCAAGAGAAAGAAGUUCAAGAAGCUGAUGCACAAGGUAAUCCAAAAAGGUCUAAGUUGUCAGACAAGGAGAUACUUGGUGUUUACUUUGCUUUGCGAGUAAUUUAG
Molecule: ribosomal RNA, 525 nt
Filed under: Triticum aestivum (bread wheat)
Lineage: Eukaryota; Viridiplantae; Streptophyta; Magnoliopsida; Poales; Poaceae
Description: partial small subunit ribosomal RNA
Source: RNAcentral